AGUGAACGCUGGCGGUAGGCCUAACACAUGCAAGUCGAACGGUAGCACAGGAGAGCUUGCUCUCUGGGUGGCGAGUGGCGGACGGGUGAGGAAUACAUCGGAAUCUACUCUGUCGUGGGGGAUAACGUAGGGAAACUUACGCUAAUACCGCAUACGACCUACGGGUGAAAGCAGGGGAUCUUCGGACCUUGCGCGAUUGAAUGAGCCGAUGUCGGAUUAGCUAGUUGGCGGGGUAAAGGCCCACCAAGGCGACGAUCCGUAGCUGGUCUGGGAGGAUGAUCAGCCACACUGGAACUGGGACACGGUCCAGACUCCUACGGGAGGCAGCAGUGGGGAAUAUUGGACAAUGGGCGCAAGCCUGAUCCAGCCAUACCGCGUGGGUGAAGAAGGCCUUCGGGUUGUAAAGCCCUUUUGUUAGGAAAGAAAUCCAGCUGGUUAAUACCCGGUCGGGAUGACGGUACCCAAAGAAUAAGCACCGGCUAACUUCGUGCCAGCAGCCGCCGUAA
RNAcentral lists this ribosomal RNA (506 nucleotides) under uncultured bacterium. RNAcentral's name for it is "partial 16S ribosomal RNA". It matches the Rfam family "Bacterial small subunit ribosomal RNA", at positions 29 to 523 of the family's 1533-position model. The record is from RNAcentral.